GACGAACCGUGCAAACGUUAUUCGGAAUCACUGGGCUUAAAGGGCGCGUAGGCGGGUCCUCAAGUCAGGGGGGAAAUCCCACGGCUCAACCGUGGAAGUGCCUUUGAUACUGGGGGUCUCGAGGGAGGUAGGGGCGUGCGGAACUUCCGGUGGAGCGGUGAAAUGCGUAGAUAUCGGAAGGAACACCGGUGGCGAAAGCGGCGCGCUGGACCUCUUCUGACGCUGAGGCGCGAAAGCCAGGGGAGCAAACGGG
RNAcentral lists this ribosomal RNA (253 nucleotides) under uncultured bacterium. Its description in RNAcentral is "partial 16S ribosomal RNA". It matches the Rfam family "Bacterial small subunit ribosomal RNA", at positions 524 to 776 of the family's 1533-position model. The record is from RNAcentral.